CAAGCUCAGGGAGAAUGCUCUUCACGAGCACCUUUUACGAAAGCAACCUAGAAUCUUAUAUAUAUGCUACCAAAAAGAAGGUCUCAAAGAAACACAGGGAAGUAAAAAAGCUGGUUGGAGAAGAACGAAGCUGAGCAGAAAAAGGGAAUGUUGCUUCAUACCUUUUUAUGUCUUUAAAAUUAGAGAGAGUUAACAUGACAAAUCUUUGUAACAGGACUGCUAUGUGGAGCAAGCCAGUGUUCACGUCAGAUGUAGUGUACACCAAUGUACAUAUUCUGCAAAACAAGGUUAAGAAGGUGAAUAGAAUUCCAAAGCCAAAGAUAGAGAAAGCAAGCAAGAAGGAGAAUGCAACGGAGGAGGAUAAAUCAAAAGGCUCUGAAGACAACACCAAUGCUUAUGAAUCUGAAGCUGGUGCCAAAGAAGAAGGGGGCCACGACUAGCUUAGAUUAACAUCACACACAUAAUAAUAGAGUUUUCCAUUAAAAUUAUAUUAUAUAUAUAUAUAUAUAUUUAUUAAACUUAUAUUUUGUAUGUGUUUAAGUGUCAGAUAGGAGGUUGGUUAGUAAAAAAGCCAACCUAAGCUGAGCAAAAGGAUUUGAUUUCAUUCUCAACCUCUUUAUCAUAUCAAGUUUGGUGUCUUUUUCUAUUCUUCUUUAAAAUAUUACAU
Long non-coding RNA from Raphanus sativus (radish), 667 nucleotides. RefSeq lists it as uncharacterized. The record is from RefSeq and is a predicted model, not a curated record. The transcript has 3 exons. NCBI's taxonomy places the organism in Eukaryota, Viridiplantae, Streptophyta, Magnoliopsida, Brassicales, Brassicaceae.